GAUGAACGCUGGCGGCGUGCCUAAUACAUGCAAGUCGAGCGAACAGAUGAGGAGCUUGCUCCUCUGACGUUAGCGGCGGACGGGUGAGUAACACGUGGAAAACCUACCUAUAAGACUGGGAUAACUUCGGGAAACCGGAGCUAAUACCGGAUAAUAUAUUGAACCGCAUGGUUCAAUAGUGAAAGACGGUUUUGCUGUCACUUAUAGAUGGAUCCGCGCCGCAUUAGCUAGUUGGUAAGGUAACGGCUUACCAAGGCGACGAUGCGUAGCCGACCUGAGAGGGUGAUCGGCCACACUGGAACUGAGACACGGUCCAGACUCCUACGGGAGGCAGCAGUAGGGAAUCUUCCGCAAUGGGCGAAAGCCUGACGGAGCAACGCCGCGUGAGUGAUGAAGGUCUUCGGAUCGUAAAACUCUGUUAUUAGGGAAGAACAAAUGUGUAAGUAACUAUGCACGUCUUGACGGUACCUAAUCAGAAAGCCACGGCUAACUACGUG
This 497-nucleotide ribosomal RNA is filed under the name uncultured bacterium. RNAcentral describes it as "partial 16S ribosomal RNA". It matches the Rfam family "Bacterial small subunit ribosomal RNA", at positions 28 to 507 of the family's 1533-position model. The record is from RNAcentral.